Molecule: small RNA, 145 nt
Filed under: Pongo abelii (Sumatran orangutan)
Lineage: Eukaryota; Metazoa; Chordata; Mammalia; Primates; Hominidae
Description: processed transcript
Source: RNAcentral
GCACGGACGGACCUCAGUUUAUCUACCCACUCACCAACUGGAUGUUGGGUUGCAUCUGCCGUGAGGCUGCUGUGGACACGCAGUUCCUCCUGGUUUUCUCCUGCCUCGUGCUGUCUGUGUUUUCCACCAUCAAGGAGUAUGAGAA